RNAcentral lists this ribosomal RNA (418 nucleotides) under Staphylococcus aureus. RNAcentral's name for it is "bacterial SSU rRNA". It matches the Rfam family "Bacterial small subunit ribosomal RNA", at positions 21 to 428 of the family's 1533-position model. The record is from RNAcentral. Lineage: Bacteria; Bacillati; Bacillota; Bacilli; Caryophanales; Staphylococcaceae.
GGCUCAGGAUGAACGCUGGCGGCGUGCCUAAUACAUGCAAGUCGAGCGAACGGACGAGAAGCUUGCUUCUCUGAUGUUAGCGGCGGACGGGUGAGUAACACGUGGAUAACCUACCUAUAAGACUGGGAUAACUUCGGGAAACCGGAGCUAAUACCGGAUAAUAUUUUGAACCGCAUGGUUCAAAAGUGAAAGACGGUCUUGCUGUCACUUAUAGAUGGAUCCGCGCUGCAUUAGCUAGUUGGUAAGGUAACGGCUUACCAAGGCAACGAUGCAUAGCCGACCUGAGAGGGUGAUCGGCCACACUGGAACUGAGACACGGUCCAGACUCCUACGGGAGGCAGCAGUAGGGAAUCUUCCGCAAUGGGCGAAAGCCUGACGGAGCAACGCCGCGUGAGUGAUGAAGGUCUUCGGAUCGUAA